This 610-nucleotide ribosomal RNA is filed under the name uncultured fungus. RNAcentral's name for it is "eukaryotic LSU rRNA". The stretch from base 156 to 309 matches the Rfam family "5.8S ribosomal RNA". Lineage: Eukaryota; Fungi. The record is from RNAcentral.
CUCUCUCUUGGGGGGGGAAAAUAUCUCUAACACUUGUGUGCACUGUUUACUGUCUCUCGGUGUUGGGUUUUCAUUUUUUUUGAUACCCUCACCAACUUAAACUUGAUAUAAAAUAAAUUCUAUGCCUUUAAUUUUAAAUUUUAUAAUUUGAAAACAACUUUUAACAACGGAUCUCUAGGCUCUCACAACGAUGAAGAACGCAGCGAAAUGCGAUAAGUAAUGUGAAUUGCAGAAUUCCGUGAAUCAUUAAAUCUUUGAACGCACAUUGCGCUCUUUGGUAUUCCGAAGAGCAUGCUUGUUUGAGUAUCAGUAAACACCUCAAAGCUUUUGAUUUAUUUUGAAGGCUUUGGACUUGAGCGAUCCCAACACCAAUCUUUUAAGAUCGGCGGCGGGUUGCUUGAAAUGCAGGUGCAGCUGGACAUUCUCCUGAGCUAAAAGCAUAUUUAUUUAGUCCCGUCAAACGGAUUAUUACUUUUGCUGCAGCUAAUAUAAAGGGAGUUUGGCCGUUUUGGCUGACUGAUGCAGGAUUUCACAAGGGUCGGCAACGAUUCUUGUUAAACUCGAUCUCAAAUCAAGUAAGACUACCCGCUGAACUUAAGCAUAUCAAUAA